This 253-nucleotide ribosomal RNA is filed under the name uncultured bacterium. RNAcentral's name for it is "partial 16S ribosomal RNA". It matches the Rfam family "Bacterial small subunit ribosomal RNA", at positions 524 to 776 of the family's 1533-position model. The record is from RNAcentral.
GACAGAGGGGGCAAGCGUUGCUCGGAAUCACUGGGCGUAAAGGGCGCGUAGGCGGGAUGGCAAGUCGGUCGUGAAAUCCUUCGGCCCAACCGAAGAACGUCGGCCGAUACUGCCGUUCUUGAGGGAUGCAGAGGAGACUGGAAUUCCCGGUGUAGCGGUGAAAUGCGCAGAUAUCGGGAGGAACACCAGUAGCGAAGGCGGCUCGCUGGGCCACACCUGACGCUGAGACGCGAAAGCGUGGGGAGCAAACAGG